AAGUUAUAGUCCCCCGGCCCUCUGGGCUGGGGUCUUCUAUACCACCCUUUGUUUAUUACACCUUUGUUGCUUUGGCAGGCCUGCCCUCGGGCUGCUGGCUCCGGCCGGCUCGCGUCUGCCAGAGGACCUAAACUCUUCUGUUUAAAAUGUCGUCCGAGUACUAUAUAAUAAGUUA
This 175-nucleotide unclassified non-coding RNA is filed under the name uncultured Geomyces. Its description in RNAcentral is "sequence contains ITS1". Lineage: Eukaryota; Fungi; Ascomycota; Leotiomycetes; Myxotrichaceae. The record is from RNAcentral.